AAAAUUUCUAACAUGUCAACUACCUUAUCAACCUGAAGGGAGCAGCAGUGAUUGGUCUCACCACACUGCGGAAAUAAGUAAAUGUUAGGGCUACAGAAAACUGGCUGGGAAUGUAAACAUUGCUAUGAAAUAUUAGUUGCACUUUUUUUAGACUACCAUAACAAUGUUCGAUUCUGUGACAAGCUAGUAUGUGGAUUGCACUAGCAGCACUUUGUAAGUCACCAAAUCAUGGCUGUGUAAUUGCUGUUCCCUUAGACUUGCCAUGCUGGAACCAGGAAAGUUGAAGCAGACACAAAGCUCUAAUGCGACAGUAAAACUACGAAAAUGUAUAUCUUGGUAGCAGCGUUUCAUAAUAUCCUCUCCUAUUUCAUUUUUCUUUAGGAGACUGAACCAAUAUCAUGACUUGACGUUUUCACAUAACAUUCUUUAUAUGGAGAUGACAAAUCACUGAAGUGGCAGAGAAAUAUAUUCUGUAGUUUUCCAAGUAGAAAACAAAAAAUGGCUUUCCUUGGAAGUCUGCAACGCCGUGAACCGAGAAAUGCAUUUCUGCAGUUUCAUUGUUGAAUUGCGGAUUCUCUGUUUUCGGUCUUAACGUCUAUCCCUUACAGCCACUAUUAAAUUCUUAUAACAUUUUUGUUGAAAUGCAUGUGCAAUGUUCGAUUUUCCUAGUUUCUCAAGCAGGUUUGAGUUCAACAGAUUGAAAUAUUAAUUGGGAUAAAAUCAUAACUGCCAGAUUACUAUACAAGUACCAAAGUCAGUCAGUCUGUCCAAUUCCACCCAUAUACAACCGUCAUGGCAAAGAAAAGUUUUCAACAUAGUCUUUUAAUUUUUUUAACUUUUAAUUUCAUUCUGCUUUAGGACUGAUACCUCAUUGGGAGGAACAUCUGAUUCUUUUUCAUCUUUGGCAGCAGGCAUGGCAUCUGCCUCUCUGGAUGAAUCAGGAGAUCCCAGCUCAUUAUCUUUUGCGCAGAUGUUACGAGAUGGAAAAAGUUUUCCUGCUGUCACAAAAUCUACCAGUGCUUGGCCAUCCAUCAAUAAACAGAAUCAGAAUCGUCGUGUGGUGGAAGAUUUUCCAGCAAUCAGCUCCUCACCACCUUCAAAGCAGUCGACUACCAGUGAAAGUCACACUCUCAGUCAGUCACUGGCACAAAACUUUCAUGGAGCAUCAGAUGCGGAUGGAGGUACCACAGGCGGUAAAAAGAAGAAGAAGAAACAAGUUUUGUUUUCUUUGGGAAUCUAGUUAUAAGAAAUAAUUAUGUUGUUUAGCUAGGAAGACUAGGAAAAAUGUCUAUUCCCUUUUUGCGAAUUUUUUGUAUUGUUGGAUAUAGUCCAAAAUCAUUUAAAUGUGUCCCGGCCAUUGUUUAAAUUAAUUUUUUAACACCUAUGGAAAGAGAAUUUUUGAAAAAUUCAAAGUUUGCUGCUCUGCUACAAUGUAUUAGUCCUGCAUUAGUGAAUUAAAAAAUAAUAAUAAUUUAUUCUUCAAUGGGAUGCCUCAGUGAAAUUUGUAUCCUUUAGUGAAAAAAAAAAAAAGGCGAAGGCAAAUUCUGAAGGUUUUUUUCCAAUUCAUAAAUUUGUAAAAAGUUUAAUACAUUUUUGCUUUAAGUCACUCUAAAUUAAUGAAAAUUCCAAUUAAGAGUUCCAAAAAAGAAAAAGCUGUGGUAGUUGGAGCCACUACAGCUCAAAGUUCAGCAUGAUAGUAAAUUUCUUCGUAACUACCACUGAUUCAUCUCAAGAUUGAGGAAGUUUCGCUUUUGGUUAGAAAAAUCUUGUUGGUGUUUCGAAAUUUUUAUUGAAUUAAAAUGAUGAGAACUUCUCUCAUAUUGGGAUAUUUUUAGCAUUGACAAUGUGUAGGCUGUACUGCUAGCUAAUCUUGUGCAUGGCACACAAUAUUGUAAUAUGCAUCUCGAAGCUGUGAGAAAUUCAUUUCUCCUUUCACUGGCUCAAGUCAGUCAAUUUUGAAACUUUACAAGACUCUGUGAUUUUUAUGCAAUUAAACCGUGGGUACUGUUUGUUGUGAUCCAGGUUUAUUGUGGUUCCAUAAAUUGCAUAGACUAAAAAUUUAAAUGUAUUUAGGACUUUUAAGUUCAUGAAGUAUUGUUGAGUAUUCCUUCGUAAGAAUUUUGUAUAUUCUAGUCCCUCUUUCUGAUCUUAAAACUCAACAUUUUCCUGCAGCUUGGAGACCGUCCGUGAAUUUCUCUUAAGUGAACAGAACGGUAUCAGUGAUUACAUCACUGAUUUUUCUGUUGUCAUGAUUCAACCAUCAUACUUACUACAUACUAGAGAUGCAGGUUGUUUGCAAGCCAUUUGGUUUUUUCUUGUGCUCUAAAUGUGAAACAAAUCACCCGGACUUAAAAUUGUAAUCUUCGUUUUAAUAACUUUAAUUUUAAUUUCAUUGAGAAACCCUUAAUUGCACUCCUCAUACCUGUACCUUACACUCAGACAGGACAAUGUGAACAGUCUUUUCAUUGAAAAUUUGCCAAGAGUUUGUUUUAAUUUAAUGAGGGCAUCAGAAUUAAGAGACUUUGGCGUUAAUUUAUGGAACUCAAAGCUGGUAUCAGAUAUGUUAAACAACUUAUGAGCAAAUGAAAUAACUCAUAUCGGAGUUUAGAAGAUUUUUGUUUUGUCUUU
This 2628-nucleotide long non-coding RNA is filed under the name Bemisia tabaci. RNAcentral's name for it is "lncRNA ENSSSA1UGG009348". The record is from RNAcentral. Lineage: Eukaryota; Metazoa; Arthropoda; Insecta; Hemiptera; Aleyrodidae.